GAUGAACGCUGGCGGCGUGCUUAACGCAUGCAAGUCGAACGGAAAGGCUCCUGCUUGCAGGGGUACUCGAGUGGCGAACGGGUGAGUAACACGUGGGUGAUCUGCCCUGCACUUCGGGAUAGGCCUGGGAAACUGGGUCUAAUACCGGAUAGGACCACAUUUUGGAUGGUGUGGUGGAAAGUUUUUCGGUGUGGGAUGAGCUCGCGGCCUAUCAGCUUGUUGGUGGGGUAAUGGCCUACCAAGGCGUCGACGGGUAGCCGGCCUGAGAGGGUGUACGGCCACAUUGGGACUGAGAUACGGCCCAGACUCCUACGGGAGGCAGCAGUGGGGAAUAUUGCACAAUGGGCGCAAGCCUGAUGCAGCGACGCCGCGUGGGGGAUGACGGCCUUCGGGUUGUAAACUCCUUUCGCUAGGGACGAAGCGCAAGUGACGGUACCUGGAGAAGAAGCACCGGCUAACUACGUG
RNAcentral lists this ribosomal RNA (465 nucleotides) under uncultured bacterium. RNAcentral's name for it is "partial 16S ribosomal RNA". It matches the Rfam family "Bacterial small subunit ribosomal RNA", at positions 28 to 507 of the family's 1533-position model. The record is from RNAcentral.